AUAGCAUGGCAUAGUGGUUUCAGCAUUGGACUAUGACUCUGGAGAUCAGGGUUCGAAUCCCAGCUUGGCCAUG
Molecule: non-coding RNA, 73 nt
Organism: Phrynosoma platyrhinos (Desert horned lizard)
Lineage: Eukaryota; Metazoa; Chordata; Lepidosauria; Squamata; Phrynosomatidae
Source: the annotation of a GenBank genome assembly